This is a long non-coding RNA of Pyrus x bretschneideri (Chinese white pear), 191 nucleotides long. RefSeq lists it as uncharacterized. The transcript has 3 exons. The record is from RefSeq and is a predicted model, not a curated record. NCBI's taxonomy places the organism in Eukaryota, Viridiplantae, Streptophyta, Magnoliopsida, Rosales, Rosaceae.
AAGGUCCCCUACCGGCAUUCAUUGGCAAUAUGUCUGCAUUGAUUAUAUUGUCAAUUGGCCACAAUUCAUUCUCUGGGCCCAUCCCCAAGGAGCUUGGAAAUCUUACGGAACUAAAUAUGCUGGCCAUCGGAUCAAAUAAUUUCUCCGGAACACUCCCUCCAGAACUUGGUAAUUUAGUCAAGCUCCAGCAA